AAGACAUAAAGGGUUGGGCUUGUCAUGGGCAUGCGGCCAUGGGCAACACGCCUUGGACGAGCAUGACCGUGACACUCAUCAUCGGUGUCAGAAUCGUCGGCACUUUCUUCUCAAGCUAUGGUCUUCCACUUUCUUCUCAAGCUAUGGUCUUCCACUUUCUCCUUCCUAAGUUCCAACUCCCUUUGACGCGGUACUCUGAUCACCAAUGAUCCAAUUGCACUGUCAACCAUUGGCUCGUCGGAAUUGUUGACCAGAAAAUUUCCCCCCUCUUCCAAACCAGUCGACAGUGUCUCCUCCUCUGAUCUUACCAUCAAUUUGUUCUGCAGCCCUUGGGAUUGAAUCUUUAACCCAUCAACGGAGAGACUUUGUAAUCUUCAAUCUCUGGUGGCUAUUUUCUAUUACCGCAGCAGCUGUUAUCCCCAUUCAAUUCUCUCCCACAUGGGGCGGUGAAUGUGUUAUAAUCCAAUCUGGACAGAUGCCUAGUUUGGUCUGUUUUUAAACGAGGUUCAUUUGUUCCAAAUCAGAACGAGGAACAACUUCGUUCAUUCAUUCUAGAUCUGGAACGAGGGGCGUCCCUUGUCUUAGAUAGCCUUGUUUACUAUGAAGCGUUCCAGAUCAUUAAUUCCUCAUUCAAGUGGUUUGUUCCAUUUUGAUUGCUUUGGAAGUAGCAGCAAUAAGAGAGUUUGCAGAUAGGAGAAGGAAAAAGGGAGAGAGGUCGGAAGAAGACGUGCUUCAUAUUUUCUGGGAUUCUUAAUUUAUACUUUUCAAGAUCAUGUCUGAAAGCAAUAGCUCUUCUCAAAGUGAGCUUGAAGAGUUUGGCCGUUCAAAGCGGCAUAAGAAGAAUGGUAGAACGAAAACGGUAGAUGUUUUUACACAACAUUUCUUUUCCUAUUUGGCUUUGUAGUUUCACUUGUGGAUUUCUCCUUGUUAUUGUUACUAUUUGUGCAUCGAUAAGAAGAGGGAGCGAAGUUAGAAACAUCACCAUGAAAGGCGUAAGCAUAAGGCUAAAGAGGUAGACCACUAUUGUACUUGUGUACUAUUUUUCCCUUUGUUGCUGAUAAUGUUGUAAUUUCGAUGAAUUGAGAAAUGCCAUGGAAAUAACCUCUAUGUAUGUUAGAUUUAUGGAUACAUGAAUUUGUGGGAUGCAUGUACAUGUGAGAUCCAUGUACUUAGUUAAUAAUUGAAGAGUCAUGAGAGUCAGAUUCAUUUGGUUGAUACAUGUAUUAGAUUAUUCAUGUAUCACCAUAAUGAUAAUACAUGUAUUAUAUAGACUUGUUAUUUAAUAUUUGGUACAUGUAUGACUAUGGAGGAUAUUUCAAAAGGCUUGACAACUUUAAAAUAGAAUACAUCUCUUCCUCAUAAUUGUCCAUAAAACUGGUAUUAGAGCCAAGUUAACUAUGACUUCAUCUAGUUCAAUUCAUACCCAUGUCCCCUUAACAAAACAAAUUAUGGUUAAUAGAGUAUCCAAAUAGAGGCCUGGUUGGGACCUAUUGGAGCAUGGGACCAAUUAUAGUAAAUAGAAUGGAGGCCUUGUUGGGAUCUAUGAGAGCAUGGGACACAGUGGUGUAUGAGUUCAAGGAGGAGGAGAUGAAGAAGGAGAAGAAGGCGUUAUUCACAAUCCACCAAAGAGUAGAUGACGCCACGUUUGAGUUGAUCGUCCAUGCAAAAUCUUCUGAGAACGCUUGGGAGGUCUGGAGAUAGACUUUGAUGGUUUAGAUAGAGUGAAGAAAAUCUGCUUGCAAUAUUUACCCGUAGAUUUUGAGGCUCUACAUCAAGAAGAUUCAACAUCAAUAUGUGUUUACUUCCAUUGUGUAAACCCCAUCGUGUAAGAAAUGAGAAGACAUGAUGAGAAGGUAGAAGAAGUACGAGUUGUGGAGAAGAUUAUGAGAUUUUUACACUCAAGGUUUGACUACAUUGCCGUGGAAAUUGAAGAAUCUAAUAAACUUGAAGAAAUAUUAGUAGAGGAGGUUCAAGGCUCUAUACAAGUCUAUGAAGAAAGAGGCUUGAGAAAGAAGAAAGAAGACGUAUGGAGCAAGCACUGCAAGCCAACUCUUCCCAAAAGAAGGAUGGCUUCUCAAAAGGAGGCUACCUCGAGUAAGGGUAGCCUUGGUGGUCAAAAUGGAGGACGAGGGGAUCGCAAUAACUAAUCUAAUUUAUAAAAUAGCAAUCAUGUUGAUGAUAGUAAAGGAAUAGUCAUGGAAACAAUGAGGCGCGUGCUUGAGGCCGUGGUCGUGGAUGAGUCCUUGUCGACCAUGUCCAUGACUGCGGCCUCGGCUAGGCACCUCAUAGCUUCCACGACCAUUCCCUUUACUAUCAUCAAUAUGGUUGCUGCUUUGUUCAUUAGAGUGGUUAUCGUGACCAUCUUGUCCUUCCUUUUGACCACCACGUUUACCUCUUCAUAAACUUGUAGAGAGCCUUGAGGCUCCUUCGCCGAUAUCUUCUCAAGAUUAUGAGAUUCUUUAAUUGUCACGACAAUAGAGUCAACUUUGAGUGUAAAGAUUCCAGGAUUUUCUCUACAAAUUGUACUUCUACCUUCUCCCCAUGUCUCCAUUUGUUACCCUAGUUUAUAUAGUAGAAGUAAUCACAAAUUGAUUUCGAACCUUUUCGUUGUAGGGCUUCGAAAUCUGCUAGCAAGGCUUUCUCCAAUACCUCUUAAGCUUUCUUGUGCAUAGUGCCUUCUUCUCCUUCUUCAUCUCCUCCUUGAAUCCAUUCAUCAUCGCAUCCCAUGCUCCCGAUCAUCCCAACAAGGCCUCCAUUUGGAUACUCUAUUUACCAUAAUUAACUUGAUGAAGUCAUAUUUAACUUAGCUUUGAUACCAAUUUUGUUGACAAAUUUUGCUAUUUGGAAGAAUAGAUGUAUUCUAUCUCAAAGUUGAUAAUAAAUCUCUACAUAGAUGAUCUUUUAUAGGUUUUUUUUUGGAAGAUCCUUCCUGCCAUACAUAUACCAAAUAUUAAAUAACGAAUCUACCUAAUACUUGUAUUAUCGUUAUAGUGAUAUAUGAAUAAUCUAAUACCUUGCCAUACAUAUACCAAAUAUUAAAUAACGAAUCUACCUAAUAUUUGUACUAUCGUUAUAGUGAUAUAUGAAUAAUCUAAUACCUUGCCAUACAUAUACCAAAUAUUAAAUAACGAAUCUACCUAAUACUUGUACUAUCGUUAUAGUGAUAUAUGAAUAAUCUAAUACCUUGCCAUACAUAUACCAAAUAUUAAAUAACGAAUCUACCUAAUAUUUGUACUAUCGUUAUAGUGAUAUAUGAAUAAUCUAAUACCUUGCCAUACAUAUACCAAAUAUUAAAUAACGAAUCUACCUAAUACUUGUACUAUCGUUAUAGUGAUAUAUGAAUAAUCUAAUACCUUGCCAUACAUAUACCAAAUAUUAAAUAACGAAUCUACCUAAUACUUGUACUAUCGUUAUAGUGAUGUAUGAAUAAUCUAAUACAUGUAUCGAUCAAAUGAAUCUAACUCCCAUGACUUUUCAAUUAUUAACCAAGUACAUGGAUCUCUAAUAUACUUAUAUCUCACCGAUUUAUGUAUCCAUAAAUACAUGAAACAAAUUUAAUAUCUUACUGCUUUUACUCGUAUUAACAUCCUUUUGAUUAUUACUUCAGAACCCUUUUGAUUUAUUACUUCAGAACAUAUUGUGAUAAAGGAGAUCUAGCUUCUAACACAUGCAUCCAAUGUCUUAGAUUUUUGCUUCAAUGUAUUUUUAGUCUUUGGUAGGCCUGAUUUAUCCCAACGCAAUAGUGUAAGACAUGUACCUUUGUAUAUUUUAAGAAUGGGCAUCAAGAUAAUAUAAGUUUUCUAAUCAUUACGUGAGGCAUAAAGACUCCAAGCAUCAUUGAGGCACAAGCCUCAUGUAUAAAAGUUCUAAACCACUUAUAAUCUAAAGAAGGCAUAAGCUUUGAGGCUAAAAAAUUUGAGCCAUUCUAAGACAAGCCCUUUAGACUGAGGCUGAAAGUAUCGAUCUAUUUGCCAAAUGAUCUUAUUGUUUCUAGUCCUGCAAUCUUUAGACUGCAUCUAUAGUUGGUUUUGUUUUUGGAGUGGUUUCUGAAUUGGAUAUAAUAUGAGAUGUUUCUGUGACCAUUUACUGAUUGAUUCUUUGAUAUUGGAGUUGGGGUCCGUGUCAUGAUGAUCGGGCUGUUGAUUGGGAGUUGAUGUAUAGAAACAGCCAGAAGAGAGUAGUGGCCCUGUGCCGCUUUCCAAGUUUUUAUUGCGGGAGAAGGAUGAUGGUACUCGGCGGAGUGCUGUCUCUGGCAAAAAGAUUUUGUUGAAACUUGACAAAUCAAAGGAAGACAAAGCAGAGGAAAACAGAAGAAAUGAAUUGCUGAAAUUCUUGAACUCUAGCUUUGACUAAUGGCUGUGUAUUAAGAAUGAAGGAAAGAGGCAUUAUUAGCUCAGUUCAACCAACAGUUGUGUGACAUUCAAGCCUGUGAACUUUCUUCUCCCUUUGAGGUUUUGAUGCAUAUGGAUCAAGAUCUUGUUUUAAUUCCUUAUGGACAGGAAUUGAAAUUGAAAUGACAAAUGACUUAGCUUGUUUGAUUUUGUUUGAUGGGAUGGAAUGGGAUGGGAUGAUGAAUGAUUUAUUGUUAGUUAUGAUUAGAUUGGGUAAAAUGCUCAAGCGCUGCCUUGCCUAAGCAUUGUUUUUACAAUGUUCACUAAAAAAGUUUUCAUGACAAUCUCUCCAUUGCCAUUCUUCCACCCCGUGUUGCAGCUGAGAGACCACUUAUGGCAGGAGGAGGUCGAUCUUGCAGGGUUGAGAUCGAACCAAUUGAUAGUCGACAAGUGAUACUAACAUCCAGUGACUGUCACGGUCAUGUUUAUCCAAGACGUGUUGUCCAAGUUGCAUGUCCAUUACAUGCCAAAACUCUUGCCUUGUAACUUUAUCGCUUUCCUUUAUUGCUUUCAUUGUGUAUGAUUUUCUUGUCUUUUUUAAGUGACUUCGGCAGAAACUUGUCUAUGCAUGAGACAUGAAAUACUCUAGACUGUAAUGUAGGGGGAUGCGACUAGUCGUCAACUUCUCACACUUAGAUUUUGUAUGACCAUUCGGUGAAAUCACGUUUAGGCUUGUCAGGCAUGAAUUGUCUCAAAAUGUAUUAUAAGGGGAUACGACUAGUUGUCAAA
Non-coding RNA from Cucurbita pepo subsp. pepo (vegetable marrow), 5120 nucleotides. NCBI's taxonomy places the organism in Eukaryota, Viridiplantae, Streptophyta, Magnoliopsida, Cucurbitales, Cucurbitaceae. The record is from RefSeq and is a predicted model, not a curated record.